RNA transcript from Cryptotermes secundus, 3144 nucleotides. It is a transcript of the gene named protein croquemort, with no coding region annotated. NCBI's taxonomy places the organism in Eukaryota, Metazoa, Arthropoda, Insecta, Blattodea, Kalotermitidae. The transcript is spliced from 11 exons. The record is from RefSeq and is a predicted model, not a curated record.
AUCAGUUAAGUACGAAAAGGUCUUCUAGUGUUACGCCGCCUGAAGUGCUUACCAGAAGUCGCUGUGCACGGCGCUGUGUACUUUCUACGCGAGCCAACAAGAAAUUAGUUCAUAAUUGCCAUGUGUUAUUGACAUGCGAAGAGGGAAACUCUCUUGUGGUCUAGACUGUGAGACACUAGGAGGCUGUGAAAGGGUUGUUCCCUGUUUGAAGGACUGCUGUUGCCAUGGCGUUGUCGGUGAAUACAAAGAAGGGUUUGGUGUUUGGUAUUGGAGCAGCAUUAGUUGUUAUAGGAGGUGUGCUUGGAGGGGUUUGGUUGUUGAUCGUUGACUCAAUCUUGAGUGGGGAAAUGGGCCUUACAAGCCAGUCAGAGUCAUAUACAAUGUGGGAAGAAACACCAAUUCCAAUGUUCAUAGAAGUAUACUUUUUCAAUUGGACAAAUGCUGCAGAGUUUCAGCAGAGACCACAAGAAGUGGUACCAGAAUUUGCAGAGUUGGGUCCAUACAUUUUCAGUGAGCACCAUACCAAAGUGAAUAUUGUUUGGAAUGACAACAACACCGUUACUUUUCAACAAGUUCGUAGGUGGCAUUUUGACCCAGAACGUUCAAAUGGAACAUUGAGGGAUGAAAUAACCAACAUUAAUGUUAUUGCAGUGACUGUGGAGUAUAUGAUACGUCACUUCAAUCCCGUGGUGCAGAUAAUUGUGGAUACACUUGUGAAGAAUCUGGAACCUCUGUUUGUGACAAAAACAGUAGGUCAGCUUAUGUUUGAAGGGUAUGAAGAUGAGCUACUCAACAUCACAGCUGCAUUGAAUGUUUCAGAGUUUCAAGUUCCCAUGGACAAGUUUGGAUGGUUCUACCCACGGAACAAUUCACCAACAUAUGAUGGGGUGUUCAAUAUGCAUACAGGAACAGACAAUUUAAAUUUACUGGGCAUAAUGGAUGCGUGGAAUUAUGAGCAGUAUCCCCCAUAUUAUGAUGGAGAAUGUGCCAGAAUAACUGGAUCAACUGGAGAACUUUUCCCACCUCUGGAAAAUGUGGAUAAGGUUGCAUUAUUUGCACCUGAAUUGUGUAGUUCUCUUGAUCUUGUGAAAUCAGAUGACCCAUAUUCAAAACAUGGUUUAGAAGCCUACAGGUUUAUUGGAGAUGACAGGGCACUUGAUAACGGAACAAAGUAUCCUGACAACCGAUGUUAUUGUGCAAAAAGGCAGAUCAUUGGCACCCAUGAAAUUUCAGCUUGUACUGAAGAAUGCGCACCAAGUGGUGUACGAAGCAUUUCAAAGUGUCGUUUUGGAGCACCUGCCUAUAUAUCCUUUCCACAUUUUUACAAGGCAGAUCCUUCAUAUCUACUAAACAUAAGAGGAUUAAAUCCAAAACAAGAUUUGCAUGAAUUCUAUGUUGCUGUGGAACCGCAUACUGGUAUUCCUUUAGACGUGAAAGCACGUGUGCAGAUCAACAUCCUCUUACGGCCAUACAAAAAUUCGAAACUGUUUAACAAUGUUCCUAAGGUAAUGAUUCCUAUGCUAUGGUUCACCCAGUCUGCAGAGCUCUCUGAUAAUUUGGCAGACCUGACAAAGCUUCUAGUCAGUCUUCCUGCAAUUGGUUGGGUUACAUUUUUUGGCUUGGCUGGAAUUGGUGCCCUGCUGAUAAUUUGUGGCAUAGUCAUAACACUGAGGAGAGGAUGGGAUGGCGAUGAUAGCGACAAACUCUUAGCAAACGACUCCUCGUCAGGAACGCCAGUUGUAAGAGAGGUGGAAAGGAAUAGGGAGGAGGAGAAGUAGAACAGAAUGGACAUGAAAGACUACCAGAAAGACCAGUACAAAUUAUGUUAAUACCUUCACUUCCUGCACACCAGCCAAUCCAGUCAUAGUACACUAGCAGUCUGCAGUAUUUCAUACUAAGGAAAUGAACAGCAAACAAUCUACAGGCAUCCAAAGAACUGCAAACUGUAGCUACAUGCUCCAUCUAGCAACAGAGGAGAAGACUACAUGCUUAAAGUGCAAUGUGAAAGAAAUAUUUUGUCUUGUUGUGGCAUGUUACUGUCUGAUCUUAGUCAAAUAAAGUGGUGAAGAUACAGCACCAGUAAAUGGCCAACUGUGAAUAUGGGAGUGAAUGUGUUAAUAUAUUUUGUUGGGUAAUGGUCAGUCAUGGCCUGUCGGGUUGUGUACUGAUGAUGGUAUUUGCUCUCUCCAUGACAAUAAGUGUAAAAUAAAGAUGUGUGAAAUGUGACUGGAUGUGUGCUAAUAUAGUUUUAAAUACAAUGGGUCCACAAGUUAGAAUACACAAUGAGUUAUUUUUUGAUAAAAUGGUGUCAUUUUCCCUGGACACCAUACAAAGUGGUUCAGAAUAAGGCUUCUUAUCGACAGGCAUCUGUUAUGUGUCACCUUUGGUGUUGCAUCUUAACAGAGCUCUUUCCAUAUAGCAACACAUCUGAUUGUUUUAUGAGAUGCAUCAUCGAUUUUUCUGUAAAAGGAGUCUUAAACUCAAAGGAAUCAUUAAUAGAUAUAUUUUUUUGUUAUUACAUACUUGUGUUAUGUAAUAUGUAAAUAGACUUGUGAAGUGCAAUAUAUAAUAGAUCUUUGUUACAAAAUUAUCAUUGGAUAUAAUGUAAGAUUACUAAAAUCAGUUUAUUAACUUUUUUAUCCUGUUUGGGUUAGUUUGAGUUUGAUUCAAUUAUAUGUACGCGUAUAUUGAUAAUUUUUAACACCAUAAGCAAUCGACUGCAAGUGUGCUGGGCCAGGUGCAAGAAAACUGGACAAAUUCAAAAUACCAAGAGUAGAAAAACAAAUUUCUUUCAUUCAAGGAGCACAUUCUUGCAGUGUGUGAAACAAACAUCAGUAUUACUGUAGUGUGAGCAGCCGAUCUAGUCACCGUGCCCUUUUCCUCUUCACAUGAUACGUGACAUCAUGUGACAGGUAAAGCUGAGCUCUAGAGUUGUACUGCUGCUCCUCCUGACCUUCCUCCCUUCCCCAUCUUUUUUCUAAGUCACGCUAUUGGCUGUUGCUUUUGAAUAUUUCUGCAUGGAGACUAGGGUGACUGCUCUACUUAUUACUGAUUGAAGAACAUAAUAUAAUCUGAAGAAAGCAGUCUUCUGGGAUUUGGCACCAUGUAUAUGUGGUGUUAACCGACGUUUCGGAGGAACGUAUC